UUUACUGUACCUUAGUUGCUUCGGCGGGCCCGCCAUUCAUGGCCGCCGGGGGCUCUCAGCCCCGGGCCCGCGCCCGCCGGAGACACCACGAACUCUGUCUGAUCUAGUGAAGUCUGAGUUGAUUGUAUCGCAAUCAGUUAAAACUUUCAACAAUGGAUCUCUUGGUUCCGGCAUCGAUGAAGAACGCAGCGAAAUGCGAUAACUAGUGUGAAUUGCAGAAUUCCGUGAAUCAUCGAGUCUUUGAACGCACAUUGCGCCCCCUGGUAUUCCGGGGGGCAUGCCUGUCCGAGCGUCAUUGCUGCCCAUCAAGCACGGCUUGUGUGUUGGGUCGUCGUCCCCUCUCCGGGGGGGACGGGCCCCAAAGGCAGCGGCGGCACCGCGUCCGAUCCUCGAGCGUAUGGGGCUUUGUCACCCGCUCUGUAGGCCCGGCCGGCGCUUGCCGAACGCAAAUCAAUCUUUUUCCAGGUUGACCUCGGAUCAGGUAGGGAUACCCGCUGAACUUAAGCAUAUCAAUA
This 515-nucleotide ribosomal RNA is filed under the name Aspergillus oryzae. Its description in RNAcentral is "eukaryotic LSU rRNA". The stretch from base 142 to 295 matches the Rfam family "5.8S ribosomal RNA". The record is from RNAcentral. Lineage: Eukaryota; Fungi; Ascomycota; Eurotiomycetes; Eurotiales; Aspergillaceae.